AGAGUUUGAUCCUGGCUCAGGACGAACGCUGGCGGUGUGCUUCACACAUGCAAGUCGAACGAGGUAGCAAUACCUAGUGGCGGACGGGUGAGUAACGCGUGGGAAUCUGCCUUGAGAUGGGGGAUAACGAGCCGAAAGGCUCGCUAAUACCGCAUAUGCCGAAAGGUGAAAGGAGUAAUCCGUCUUAAGAUGAGCCCGCGUCCGAUUAGCUAGUUGGUGGGGUAAAGGCCUACCAAGGCGACGAUCGGUAGCUGGUCUGAGAGGAUGAUCAGCCACAAUGGGACUGAGACACGGCCCAUACUCCUACGGGAGGCAGCAGUGGGGAAUUUUACGCAAUGGGGGAAACCCUGACGUAGCGACACCGCGUGAGCGAAGAAGCCCUUUGGGGUGUAAAGCUCUGUCAGCUGGAACGAAACAAAUGACGGUACCUGUGGAGGAAGCAUCGGCUAACUACGUGCCAGCAGCCGCGGUAAGACGUAGGAUGCAAGCGUUGUCCGGAUUUAUUGGGCGUAAAGAGUUCGUAGGCGGUUUGUUAAGUCUGAUGUUAAAGACCGGGGCUCAACCUCGGAAAUGCAUUGGAUACUGGCAGACUGGAGUGCAGUAGAGGCUAGUGGAAUUCCCAGUGUAGCGGUGAAAUGCGUAGA
This 644-nucleotide ribosomal RNA is filed under the name uncultured bacterium. Its description in RNAcentral is "bacterial SSU rRNA". It matches the Rfam family "Bacterial small subunit ribosomal RNA", at positions 8 to 694 of the family's 1533-position model. The record is from RNAcentral.